GGGCAGUAUUAGCAUGUAAAAGGCUGUGCCCGCCCACUCGCCCCAGACACACAAGAUUGUCAUGAGAGCUGAAAGGGGCUGAAAUUAUUCUCCCUGAAGGAGGAAAAAAAAAAAAAAAUACUGCAGCUCCCGAUUUGGUAAAAAGCCAAUGGCUUGCUGCAAUCCAGAGUCACCGUGGGGAGCGCUGGCCGGGCGAGUGGGGUGGGAGGGAGGGGCCGGGAGAGGGAGGGAGCGCCGGACUCGCCAGCCUAGCCGGGCCGGGUAGCCUGCGAGCUCCUGGCCACCGAGGAGUCCCUGGGGUCCGUGCGGGGGUGCUCCCGGCGCUGAUGUGACAUGGAGACUACACUCAGCCCACGUUGCCGCUGCUGCCCUAGGCAAUUUUUAAGAAGAGGUGGUUCAUGUUAGAAGGGACAAGAGGGUACUGGACACCAGGAGUCGUGGUGACUAUCUGACUUUGAACACGCUAUUCAGCCUCUCUGAACCCCAAUUCCCUCGUCUAUUAAGAUGAAAUGGGUGUACUAGAACGUCUGUAAGUUUGUUUCCAGUGCUGAAUGAAGUUCUCUGAGUGGUCUUACAAAUACAGCAUCUUAAGAAUGUGAAGGAAAUUUGAGAAGUCAUUUUAUUCAGUCGCCUGUCUUUGGAAAAUAAACUCUCCUAUAGUGCUUACUAUUUAACAUGCUCUACUAUAGUGUUUGCUGUGGGCAGUGUUUUAAAUUCAGCAAGGUGCCAGAGCCAGAUUCUGCUCUUGAGAGCCAAUUCUGUGUACCUGUGUUCACCUCUCCAUGCGAUGAUACCAUGUUGGUAGGUUGGAAUCCACUGUGGAGGAAGUGGUUACAAUAUACAAGUUGAAAAACACUGCAUGUCAAGAUUAUUUUCUGCUUCCGAGAAACAUCUACCAGCACAGCACCAGUUUCAGUACUUUAUGAACAUUAACUUAUUUAAUUCUCACAACCACUCAGUCUUAUAAAAAAAGGAAACCGAAUCAGAGAAACUAAGUAAUUUGACCAAGCUAACAAAGCUGGCAUACUAGUAACCUAAAUGAACCAACUAACAAAAAGUCUUGAUGGCCUUCCACUACAAAUAUUUAUUUCUUCUUCGUGCUAGACAUCCUUCAUAGUGGGACUAUGACUCUAAUCCAUGUUGUUCCACAAACAGAACAGCAGCUUCCAUCAGGAACAUGAUGUUCUCACGGCACACCUGCAGCACAUAGACGUUCCCGGGCUAUUGGAGCUGCAGCUGCCGGCCUACGCCACCACCAUGGCAACACCAGAUCCAAGCCACAUCUGCGACCUGCGCUGCAGCUUGUAACAAUGUCGAAUCCUUAACCCAACUAGGGAGGGCAGGGAUCAAACUCCCAUCCUCACAGAGACAAUGCUGGGUUCUAAAGCCUCAGAGCCACAAGAACUCCAAAAUGUUUCCUCGUUCACAUUAGCCACGGCAUGUCACAUGGCCAAAACCCUAUGAGCCAGUCUGAUGGGGGAGGGUAAGCCUCUCACGGGGAGGAAGGAGAGAACAUUUGGGAACAGUAAUUUAAAAGAUAACAGCUUAGCUGGGUGAUAGAAUGGGAAUUUGAACCCGAGAAAUCUGCCAUAUUCUAAAAGCAGGCCAUUCUGCCUGUUACAGCUCACACACCUCUAUUUCUCACCUAUUUUCCAUAAUAGGGUUUGCUAUUUAGUAACUCUUUAAGGGAAUUCUUCCCUGUGACUCCUAAAAAGAAAAUAAUGUUGAUUUAGAAAACACAAGAACUUCGGAGUGAAUCUGACAUACUUGGUUUUGCCACUAAUAACUCUGCAAUUUCAACCCUUAUACUCCUUUCCCUCUACUCCCUUUCACUGAGAAGCAAAGACCACUUAUUUCCCUUAACCUUAUUACAGAUGUUUUCAUGUGAUUAAUUCAUCAAUAAAUUUGUAACACAAACAAUGUUUUUUUUAGCAUUGAGCUUCCUGACAUAUGUAAGGCAGAGAGGCAUAUGAAUAUAUCUUUCUGCCAUCAAUGAGUUUAUAAACUUCUUGGAGAGACUGUCAUGAAAUAAAAACUAACAGUAACUCUUUUGAAGAUUCAGAAAGCAUAUGCAAUUAAGUACUAAUAAAUGGACUUUAAAUCCAUAAGAAUGCUUGACUAACCUAGUUAAUGUCCCUGAACUAUCAUUUCCUGCUCUGUAAAAUGGUGAUAACAUUACAGUAUUGCUAUAAAGCUUCAAUGAGAUAAUGUAUUUCAAAAUAUCUGUCACUCUUCUCUAGUUUGUGCUGAAUGCUCGGUA
Molecule: long non-coding RNA, 2260 nt
Organism: Sus scrofa (pig)
Lineage: Eukaryota; Metazoa; Chordata; Mammalia; Artiodactyla; Suidae
Source: RefSeq, a predicted model, not a curated record